UCCGGUUUGGCAUCGGCAGUCUUCCUAGAGUCCCCGCCAUUACGCGCUGGUAACUAAGAACAGGGGUUGCGCUCGUUGCGGGACUCAACCCAACAUCUCACGACACGAGCUGACGACAGCCAUGCAGCACCUGUGCAUGGAUCCCGAAGGAGGCUUCUGGUUUCUCAGAAGCUUCCCAUGCAUGUCAAGCCUAGGUAAGGUUUUUCGCGUUGCAUCGAAUUAAUCCACAUAAUCCACCGCUUGUGCGGGUCCCCGUCAAUUCCUUUGAGUUUUAGCCUUGCGGCCGUACUCCCCAGGCGGGGCGCUUAAUGCGUUAGCUGCGGCACGGAACUCGUGGAAUGAGUCCCACACCUAGCGCCCAACGUUUACGGUGUGGACUAC
Molecule: unclassified non-coding RNA, 381 nt
Filed under: uncultured bacterium
Lineage: Bacteria
Description: contains 16S-23S intergenic spacer region
Source: RNAcentral